GCGCCUGUAACUCAGUGGAUAGAGCGCUUGUUUCCUAAGCUGAAGGUCGUAGGUUUGACCCCUACCUAGCGCG
Molecule: transfer RNA, 73 nt
Filed under: Nicotiana sylvestris (wood tobacco)
Lineage: Eukaryota; Viridiplantae; Streptophyta; Magnoliopsida; Solanales; Solanaceae
Rfam family: tRNA
About the family: Transfer RNA (tRNA) molecules are approximately 80 nucleotides in length. Their secondary structure includes four short double-helical elements and three loops (D, anti-codon, and T loops).
Source: Rfam by way of RNAcentral